This 211-nucleotide ribosomal RNA is filed under the name uncultured bacterium. RNAcentral's name for it is "partial 16S ribosomal RNA". It matches the Rfam family "Bacterial small subunit ribosomal RNA", at positions 524 to 733 of the family's 1533-position model. The record is from RNAcentral.
GACGAACCGUGCGAACGUUGUUCGGAAUCACUGGGCUUAAAGGGCGCGUAGGCGGGCUGCCAAGUCCGGGGUGAAAUCUUUCGGCCCAACCGGAAAAGUGCCUUGGAUACUGGCGGCCUGGAGGGAGGCAGGGGCGGAUGGAACUUCCGGUGGAGCGGUGAAAUGCGUUGAUAUCGGAAGGAACGCCGGUGGCGAAAAGCGAUCCGCUGGG